UGAUUGUCAGCAUUGCCCACGUCCAGGGUAGCGCCAACUCUUACCGGGUUCAUAAAAGGAUGUCCUCUCUUGGUAACAAAACUAUUACCGGGUUUAUCGGAUGUAAAGCCGGUGACAGUCAUACACUCACUUCCCCAAAUCCUGCGAAGGGUUACUGAGGAAGGAAAUGAGAGGUGUACCAUUCUGUUCGGAACAAGUCUUACCUCGAAAAUAGCCGGAGUACCGGGGGAAAGAGGAAGGGCAAUGACGGAACCGGAAACAAUGCGGCUACCUUCAGGGGUUAUCACGACAGCGCCACCGGAAGAUCCGGUGAAAAAACUGCCAAAACUCAGAUCCUGUACCAGGUAAACCUCCAGGCUGCUUGGGGGGGGGGGGAAAGCGGCAUCCGGACAUGAAGCUGGAUAAAAAAAAGAGUAUUUGUUUCAUCAGUUAAAAACAAAUUCUUUUUCAGCAUACAUCACGGGCAUUGCUUCAUUUGAACUGCUAUAACGUAUCAGCAGCUUCCCGGCGGUGAAAUCAACGCCUUCAGGUAAGUCCAGCGGCAUGGAAAACCGGCGCAAGGUAUUGGGGGUAUAUACCGCCAAUCCCCUGACGUUUUCCACAUUAAUCCUUUCCCCAUCGGGAGCAAUAUAAUCGAUGCUCAGAUCGCCAUAAACCGACUGGGUGCCUUCCCUGUUCAGGGUCAUCUUCACCACAGGCGGUUGAUUCUCUACCUGCUCGACUGUCAAAUCGUUGAUGGUAACUUUUGAAUAAAGGUUGCCUAUCCGGAUAAUGACCGGGAUGGAAACGCCGUA
This 794-nucleotide ribosomal RNA is filed under the name uncultured archaeon. RNAcentral's name for it is "partial 16S ribosomal RNA". The record is from RNAcentral.